UGGAAUGGUGCCUGCCUUAAUAGAUUGGCAUUGAGGCUUGCAUGGAAAAAGCCAGAGAUAUGGAUUGGUAUUAAGCUAUGGCGGCAGACACCUGAUGUUAAAACAGUGCUGCCAUUAUGAGGAUCCAAGCCAGCAGGGCCCAUGCAAGGAUUUUUGACUGCUAAAAAAUCCACUUUCCCAGUCCCUCUGUGUCAUUGUCCCCUUUCUCCAGCCUGUCAUUGUCCCUCUUCUCAGCCUCUGUGUCAUUGUUCCCUUUUCCAGCCCCUG
This is a non-coding RNA of Pelobates cultripes (western spadefoot toad), 267 nucleotides long. The record is from the annotation of a GenBank genome assembly. NCBI's taxonomy places the organism in Eukaryota, Metazoa, Chordata, Amphibia, Anura, Pelobatidae.